RNAcentral lists this ribosomal RNA (751 nucleotides) under Bacillus altitudinis. Its description in RNAcentral is "bacterial SSU rRNA". It matches the Rfam family "Bacterial small subunit ribosomal RNA", at positions 48 to 782 of the family's 1533-position model. The record is from RNAcentral. Lineage: Bacteria; Bacillati; Bacillota; Bacilli; Caryophanales; Bacillaceae.
CUAAUACAUGCAAGUCGAGCGGACAGAAGGGAGCUUGCUCCCGGAUGUUAGCGGCGGACGGGUGAGUAACACGUGGGUAACCUGCCUGUAAGACUGGGAUAACUCCGGGAAACCGGAGCUAAUACCGGAUAGUUCCUUGAACCGCAUGGUUCAAGGAUGAAAGACGGUUUCGGCUGUCACUUACAGAUGGACCCGCGGCGCAUUAGCUAGUUGGUGAGGUAACGGCUCACCAAGGCGACGAUGCGUAGCCGACCUGAGAGGGUGAUCGGCCACACUGGGACUGAGACACGGCCCAGACUCCUACGGGAGGCAGCAGUAGGGAAUCUUCCGCAAUGGACGAAAGUCUGACGGAGCAACGCCGCGUGAGUGAUGAAGGUUUUCGGAUCGUAAAGCUCUGUUGUUAGGGAAGAACAAGUGCAAGAGUAACUGCUUGCACCUUGACGGUACCUAACCAGAAAGCCACGGCUAACUACGUGCCAGCAGCCGCGGUAAUACGUAGGUGGCAAGCGUUGUCCGGAAUUAUUGGGCGUAAAGGGCUCGCAGGCGGUUUCUUAAGUCUGAUGUGAAAGCCCCCGGCUCAACCGGGGAGGGUCAUUGGAAACUGGGAAACUUGAGUGCAGAAGAGGAGAGUGGAAUUCCACGUGUAGCGGUGAAAUGCGUAGAGAUGUGGAGGAACACCAGUGGCGAAGGCGACUCUCUGGUCUGUAACUGACGCUGAGGAGCGAAAGCGUGGGGAGCGAACAGGAUUAGA